AUUUAUUGAACGCUUCUUGGUCUUAACCAUAUAACAAUGGGCAGAACAGCCGCAGCAGUCUCAGGCGGAAGGCAGCUCCACGUGGCUCCUUUUGGCUUCAGUGAUGCUGACAAAGAUGAAGACAGAGCCUGAACUUUGUGGUCAUCAAGGGAGCAAGAAGGGAGCGGAGGGACGACCUGAGCCUGCCUAGUCUCUCACAGCCCAGACGGCA
This 211-nucleotide long non-coding RNA is filed under the name Fukomys damarensis (Damara mole-rat). RNAcentral's name for it is "lncRNA (ENSFDAG00000030341.1)". The record is from RNAcentral. Lineage: Eukaryota; Metazoa; Chordata; Mammalia; Rodentia; Bathyergidae.